RNAcentral lists this small RNA (316 nucleotides) under uncultured Entrophospora. RNAcentral's name for it is "SSU rRNA". It matches the Rfam family "Eukaryotic small subunit ribosomal RNA", at positions 569 to 889 of the family's 1831-position model. The record is from RNAcentral. Lineage: Eukaryota; Fungi; Glomeromycota; Glomeromycetes; Entrophosporales; Entrophosporaceae.
AGCAGCCGCGGUAAUUCCAGCUCCAAUAGCGUAUAUUAAAGUUGUUGCAGUUAAAAAGCUCGUAGUUGAAUUUCGGGACCAAUAUGUUGGUCGUGCCUCGGUACGCACUGGCAUUAUUGGUUUCUCCCUUCUGACGAACUACGAUGCCAUUAAUUUGGUGUCGUAGGGAAUCAGGACUGUUACUUUGAAAAAAUUAGAGUGUUUAAAGCAGGCUCGCGCUUGAAUACAUUAGCAUGGAAUAAUGAAAUAGGACGUUUGAUUCUAUUUUGUUGGUUUCUAGGAUUCGACGUAAUGAUUAAUAGGGAUAGUUGGGGGC